GGACAAAGCUAUUAUUUUGUUUAUACACGAAAAAGCAGACGAAGUUGUAAGUAUAUUAUAUAUUAAUUUAUAUAUAUAUAUAUAUAUAUAUAUUCGUGUGUAUUUGUUUAUUAUUAUUAAAUUGAUUUUUUUUUCUUUUCUGGCAAAAUACAUUCAAAAUAUAGAAAUAAAAAGAUGAUUACAAUUAAGACAACUUUCCUCCAAAUAACAAAUGACUUAGAAGUUAACAAUUAUGGGCUAAAUUACAAACUUCAACACUGAGCAAACCCAUACCGCUUAGUAAGCUGUUAAGGUCCAAAACAACAAAUGAAUCUAUAUUGGACGUUAAAUAAAUGACAUUGAAUUUGACUUUAGUGUUAAGACUUAUUUCAAGAAGAAAUGAUUCAGGAUUAAGCUGUUUUAUUUAAAAUUACCAUGUUCUGUUCUGUUAUUUCAUUCAACAUUCCCAUGUUCUGUUCUAUUAUUGAAUUUAAUGUUCCCGUGACCUGUUUUGUUCUUUUAUAUUUAACAUUACCAUGUUCUGUUCUAUUAUUUCAUUUAACAUUCCAAUGUUCUGUUAUGUUAUUUCAUUUAUAAUUAUCAUGCUUUGUUUUUAAUCUUUUAUUUAACAUUCCCGUGUCCUGUUACAUUUAUUUCUAAAUCAUUCUGUUAUACCAUUUAACAUUCCCAUGAUCUGUUCUGUUAUUUCAUUUAUUUCGUAUAACAACCCAUGUUCUGCUAGGUUAUUUCAUUUAACAUGCCCAUAUUCUGGUAUGUUAUUUCAUUUAAAAUUCCCAUGUUCUGUUCAUUUAUUUCAUUUAUAAUUACACCUUAUAUAAGAAAGCAAGAUUUUGAUUGGUUGAUAGCCAGUGUAUUUUUCGCAUAUUCUAAUAUGUUUUCCUCAUUUCAAACGAAUUUGCCUGUUUUUCACCACUGCCGGUGAAUUUGCCUCAAAUACCAUGGUAUUUGCCAUUUUGGAUAUUCCUUUUUUUACCCUCGCGAGCAGCUUCCCGCCAAAAGAUUUCGGAUAUGACGUUACAUAAUGAAAGCGAGCUAACGCGUAUUAGAACAUGUAUAAUUCCGCGGUUCUAUGAUAAUAUCCAUUUAUACCCUAAAUUAUGCAUAAACAUGAUUAUGAAUUGCAGCUUGAUAGUAUUUAUCUGCACAUGUACAGAGAGUUUCAAUCCAAAUCUAUUCGGUGUAAUUAAACAGAUAUAUCAUGUUAUGGAGGGGUAUUUGCGAAAAAUACCAGUCUUGGGACAGAAUUUCCCUCGCCUGGCGGCUCGGGAAAUUUCACAGUCCCUUGACUGGUAUUUUUCGCAAAUACCCCUCCAUAACAUGAUAUAUCUGUUCAAAAUUUCCAUGUUCUGUUCAUUUAUUUCAUUUAAAAUUCCCAUGUUCUGUUCAUUUAUUCCAUUUAGCAUGCCCGUGUUCUGCUAGGUUAUUUUAUUUAACAUGCCCAUGUUCUGUUAUAUUAUUUCAUUUAACAUUCCCAUGUUCUGUUCAUUUAUUCCAUUUAAUUAGCCAUCACAUGUUCAGGUAAUUUAUUUAACAUUCACAUUUUCUGUAAUUUCGUUUGACAUGCGUAUGAUCUGUUAAUUUUAUUUAAUAAUCACAUGUUAGAUGUUACUUUAUUUUCGCUACUCUUUUGUAGAAAAUGCAGAGGAAAGUGAUCAUAGUUCUUAUUGCAGUACUGUUUCUUGUUGGUACAACAAUUGCAACGUGUCGUACAAACUGCGCACACAGAUAUCAGGAUAAUGUAAACAGCUGUAAAAUUCAUGGAGGUUCAAAUGACGCAUGCGUAGACAAGGCAACUGCACGCAUGCUCCGUUGCAUGAAACCAUGUUCAUCCAGGAAAAGGAGCGUGAACUGGAAGCUAUUCCAUGUGUAAAUAGUUACUUUUAAAUUUGACGAGGACUGUUUUGGAGACAAUUGGUCCGAUAAACGAAUUUAUGUGACUUGAUAGUUAUAAUGACGCGUAGUAUUACACUACAUCAAGUUUGUUGCAUUGAAUUGUACUGAAACAUUCAAACUAAUUUUAGUGUACAUUAUGCAUAAUAAUUGUUUUUUGAUAGUUCAACAUGAAAUGCUGUAUUUUUCGUGCAAUACUAACGAGGACUGUUUCGGAGUAAAUACAUGUAGGUCCGAUAUACGAAUGUAUGUAACUUGAUAAUUUCUGGUGUUCUAUUACACUACACCAUUUUUUUCAUUUUUUUAUGCAUUUUACUGUACAGAUACAAUAUGACUUAAUUUAGUGUACGUAUUGUAGUUGUGUUCUUUGUGCAAUAUUUUAUUUAUUACGUGUAUGCAA
This 2290-nucleotide long non-coding RNA is filed under the name Mytilus galloprovincialis (Mediterranean mussel). Lineage: Eukaryota; Metazoa; Mollusca; Bivalvia; Mytilida; Mytilidae. The record is from RNAcentral.